AGUGGUGCUCUGGCUCAGGAGGAAAGUCUCUCCUCAUCACGCUGUCUUCAGAGGGCAUGGGUGAAAAGCAUGGGAGGCAGCCCCUUAAUUAACUGUUAUAUAAUCCCCGCAUUGCUUUACAUGGGAGAACACCAGCUCCAGUACUUAUAUCUCUGCAGAUAAAUCAGAAACUGCACUGAAAGGGAUCAUGGUGGUAGUCAAAACAGACCUCUCCUUUGGAAAAUCUAUCAGCCAAGAAGACGGCAAUCUGGAGGUCCUCAUGGGACUUUUCUUAGCUGGUUUGCCUAGUUCAUUUUUCUUAUGCUUUAAUCUCUUGUGAAGUGAAUUGUCUCCCUCGGAGAAAACUUGCUUUGAGAACAAUAUGGUGCCUUGGCCUCUGGAUUGAACCAGGGAGUAAGCCACAUGCUGACGAGAGCCUGGGACAUGUUGUGGCAUAACCUGCUGCCUGCGGCCUGCGUUGCUCAAGCUGUGACCUGGGAGUCACCACCAGUGGAUCACAGCAUUGUUCCUGCUGCUCUGGCUGCUCUCCAAGGAAAGGAAUUCCUCCAUCAAGACUUUCCCAGGGUCCAGGCACUUGCCAGCAGCUGACCCAUCAGGAAAUCGCCUCUCCCUUCUUCCUUCCCACAUUCCUUCCUGAGCAUUCCCCAGCCCAAGCACACUGCCUUUUACUGCAAGACACAGUUCCUGUUUUAAGGAGUUUAUAGUUUCUGUGGGGAGAUAAGACAAGUGCAUGGAUAUUAGAUAGAAUGCAUUAAAUGUCAGGAACAAGGAAAAUGGCCUAAUGUGCAAUGGGAACUCAGAGCUGCCUUCUUUCAGGUCAGCUGCCUCUGAUGCCCAACAGGCCAGCAACAGGAUAGGAUUUGGAGAAACCAUGAGAGCCCCAGUUUCCUGAGCCUCAUUUGCGGUUGUGGCAGACGAUUGAGAAGAGGAAGUAUGAAUUGCAGUGAGAUGCAGUGGGAAAGAAAGAAUUCAUACCAUCAGGAUGACCUCUGCUGUUGAUGUAUUCUUGCCUACACAGGAACAUCCUGAACUUGGAAAUGGAUACUCCUUUGGGAUGCCCCUAUAUCAGCUUUAGCUGAGACCACCAGAUUUGUCUGCAUGGGAAACACUACUGUUACUCUGAUAGGCAUCAAGUUGGAUCCCUGAAGCUUCUCCAAGAUGUUUUCAAGCCACUAGGAAGUGUUUUUGCCAUCACCACAAAGAGGAGGAUGCUCCUGGGAGAUGGCAAGGAACUGUCAUUUCGCCUGUAAAAAGAGGGAGGAGAAAAAAUCAUUAGUCAGGACUGGAACAGCAGAGCAUUGUGCCAAGGAUAUGACAGCCAUCGUCGCCGGCCCAUUAGCCACCUGAUCUGCUGUCACACCAGACCUGCUCUCCAAUGAUCCUGAGAUAUCUUGCAUGGUACACAUGCUCCUGCUGCAUCAUUUCCAAAGUUCCUGCCAUAGGACUGGGAAAGAUCUUCUGGACCCUUCCUAGCAGAGCAGUAGUUGAGCCGCAGGGGAGCCCAAGAGCAGCCUGCAAGCAUGUUUCGAAGGGGUGGUCAACACGCAGAGAGCCCCAGGAACCCACUUGAGAGUCAGCUCAGGGCCCAGUGGACAUGGUGAGGAUAACUCCAACCUGGUGGAGUGGAGAGAGAGCUCCUUCUGUGAGUAUUGCUCUGAAGUUCAGAAUGUCAAGCUUAGCAAAAGCAGGUCUUUUCAAAAACCAACCCUCAUUCUUUGCAGCCACAAAGUAUUGUUUGAAAACCCAUUUUUUUAAAGCUGAGAUUUAUUCUAAUUAUAAAAUAAUCCCUAUUCUUGAGAUGCUUUUCUCUCAGAAUGUCUGUGUCAUAGGUAGGGACAGUCUAAUUAGGUUUCUCUGAAGCCCUGGCCUGGGGCAUGGCUACAUCACACAGGUGAGGAAACUUGACUGAAUGGGGCUCGUGACUCCAAUUGAGGAAGAGGACAUUUGUGUUAGCAGACUUGCUGUUCACACCUCAGUCCUCCGGAAUCCUGGGCAGCAGUGGAGCUGCUAGUACAAUGAAUGUCUGUGGGUCCCAUGUCCCACCUUGGAGCGUGCUGUUUAAUUUUCACCUACAUAGGCGCCGUUGGUUUGUAUUUCUAAAGCUGUAGUUUCUCUUCAGGCUUAAAAAUGUAUACUGCGAGGGCGUUCCUCUCAUGGCUCAGUGGAAGUGAAUCUAACUAGAUACCAUGAAGUUGUGGGUUCGAUCCCUGGCUUCACUCAGUGGGUUAGGGAUCCGGCGUUGCUGUGAGCUGUGGUGUAGGUUGCAGAGGCGGCUCAGAUCUGGCAUUGCUGUGGCUCUGGCAUAGGCUGGCGGCAACAGCUCCGAUUAGACCCCUAGCCUGGGAACCUCCAUAUGCCAUGUGUGCAACCCUCAAAAGACAAAAGACAAAAAAAAAAAUGUAUCCUGUGAAAUGAACUGAGGCCGUUUUUCUUUUCGGAAUGUGUAGCUAUUUUUUAAUAUCAUGAAGGUGUUGCUUUAAUAAUCAUGUUUACUUUUGUUUCUUGUUUUCCCCUUAUGACAACAGGCAGAGGAUUAAAUUCAGUUAUCUUAGGGAUACAAAUCAAAUAGGCAAUUAUCAAAAAA
RNAcentral lists this long non-coding RNA (2584 nucleotides) under Sus scrofa (pig). Its description in RNAcentral is "lncRNA (ENSSSCG00050060700.1)". The record is from RNAcentral. Lineage: Eukaryota; Metazoa; Chordata; Mammalia; Artiodactyla; Suidae.